Molecule: ribosomal RNA, 465 nt
Filed under: uncultured Klebsiella sp.
Lineage: Bacteria; Pseudomonadati; Pseudomonadota; Gammaproteobacteria; Enterobacterales; Enterobacteriaceae
Description: bacterial SSU rRNA
Rfam family: Bacterial small subunit ribosomal RNA
Source: RNAcentral
CCUACGGGAGGCAGCAGUGGGGAAUAUUGCACAAUGGGCGCAAGCCUGAUGCAGCCAUGCCGCGUGUGUGAAGAAGGCCUUCGGGUUGUACAGCACUUUCAGCGGGGAGGAAGGCGUUAAGGUUAAUAACCUUGGCGAUUGACGUUACCCGCAGAAGAAGCACCGGCUAACUCCGUGCCAGCAGCCGCGGUAAUACGGAGGGUGCAAGCGUUAAUCGGAAUUACUGGGCGUAAAGCGCACGCAGGCGGUCUGUCAAGUCGGAUGUGAAAUCCCCGGGCUCAACCUGGGAACUGCAUUCGAAACUGGCAGGCUAGAGUCUUGUAGAGGGGGGUAGAAUUCCAGGUGUAGCGGUGAAAUGCGUAGAGAUCUGGAGGAAUACCGGUGGCGAAGGCGGCCCCCUGGACAAAGACUGACGCUCAGGUACGAAAGCGUGGGGAGCAAACAGGAUUAGAUACCCGAGUAGUC